UACAGAGGGUGCGAGCGUUGUCCGGAAUCACUGGGCGUAAAGGGCGCGUAGGUGGCGCCCCAAGUCUGUGGUGAAAGCUCGAUGCUCAACAUCGAGUCGGCCACGGAAACUGGGGGGCUGGAGCACUGUAGAGGCUAAUGGAAUUCCGGGUGUAGCGGUGGAAUGCGUAGAGAUCCGGAAGAACACCGGGUGGCGAAGGCGGUUAGCUGGGCAGUUGCUGGA
Molecule: ribosomal RNA, 222 nt
Filed under: uncultured bacterium
Lineage: Bacteria
Description: partial 16S ribosomal RNA
Rfam family: Bacterial small subunit ribosomal RNA
Source: RNAcentral